Small nucleolar RNA from Cynoglossus semilaevis (tongue sole), 93 nucleotides. Ensembl annotates it as small nucleolar RNA U83B. The record is from Ensembl. Lineage: Eukaryota; Metazoa; Chordata; Actinopteri; Pleuronectiformes; Cynoglossidae.
UAAUCUCGGUGAUGAGACCGCGGAUCUUGCGUCAGGCAUGGCGCCUGAGACACAUGAAGAUAUCUUCCAUGCUGCCUUCCUUCUGAGACGAUG